This 549-nucleotide ribosomal RNA is filed under the name uncultured Glomus. Its description in RNAcentral is "SSU rRNA". It matches the Rfam family "Eukaryotic small subunit ribosomal RNA", at positions 548 to 1098 of the family's 1831-position model. Lineage: Eukaryota; Fungi; Glomeromycota; Glomeromycetes; Glomerales; Glomeraceae. The record is from RNAcentral.
UUGGAGGGCAAGUCUGGUGCCAGCAGUCGCGGUAAUUCCAGCUCCAAUAGCGUAUAUUAAAGUUGUUGCAGUUAAAAAGCUCGUAGUUGAAUUUCGGGGUCAGCAGGUUGGUCGUGCCAAUGGUAUGCACUGGCCUUGCUGAUUCCUCCCUCUUGAUGAGCCGUAAUGUCAUUAAUUUGGUGUUGCGGGGAAUCAGGACUGUUACUUUGAAAAAAUUAGAGUGUUUAAAGCAGGCAAGCGCUUGAAUACAUUAGCAUGGAAUAAUGAAAUAGGACGUUUGAUCCUAUUUUGUUGGUUUCUAGGAUUGACGUAAUGAUUAAUAGGGAUAGUUGGGGGCAUUAGUAUUCAAUUGUCAGAGGUGAAAUUCUUGGAUUUAUUGAAGACUAACUACUGCGAAAGCAUUUGCCAAGGAUGUUUUCAUUAAUCAAGAACGAAAGUUAGGGGAUUGAAGACGAUCAGAUACCGUCGUAGUCUUAACCAUAAACUAUGCCGACUAGGAAUCGGAUGAUGUUAAUUUUUUAAUGACUCAUUCGGCGCCUUACGGGAAAC